UAUAACUUUACCCUUAUUGUACAUAAAGUUCCAUUUGAAAAUCUAAAAUCAAGAAGAGAAGAACAUAUAGGGUAAUAACGUAACUACUAUGAUUAUUAAAUACUGUAGAUGGUAAAACUCACAUGGUCAUGAGCCACUUAUAAAAGCUGGCUCAGACUAACAGCAUAUCAAAUCAGCGUAUGUAAAGUUGAACUCCAAGCUAAAUUCCCUCUGUGGUCCUCAG
Pelobates cultripes (western spadefoot toad) is the source of this 223-nucleotide non-coding RNA. Lineage: Eukaryota; Metazoa; Chordata; Amphibia; Anura; Pelobatidae. The record is from the annotation of a GenBank genome assembly.